ACAUGGGCCAGUGGCUGAGUCCCGGCUCCACGAGGAGAUGUUGGGAGAAGGCAGCACACAUUGAGGAGAAGCAAGGAGCACCACUCCUGAUGGUCCCCUCCAGAGCCCCAGGAAACUCUUGUUAGCAAUCUUAGAUUAAAUUCAGAGUUUCUGGAUCACGACAGGAAGCUGUGUCCAGCACGAAGGUGUCCUGUGAACAGGCUCAAUCACAAGCUCUGCAGAGACGGGAAGUGACAGAGGCCCCAGAAAGCCAGUUCCCGACAACGCCAAUACUGCACGUUUAUCAGCUGCGGCAAGAGCCGGCCAGAGGCGGUGGCAGCACCUCAAUGCCCUUGCCUCGUCUUCAAGAUUCUUCUGUUUGAUGUUGCGUCCUCACUGUUCCUCUGCUGAGGAGCUGUAGUGUGGCUCACAACUACGCGAUGACUCUCCAGAUUCAAAGACCACAUCUCACCCUCUCUAAAGCCCCAGGGGCCCAGCGCAGUGCCGAGUGCAGA
Molecule: long non-coding RNA, 494 nt
Filed under: Homo sapiens (human)
Lineage: Eukaryota; Metazoa; Chordata; Mammalia; Primates; Hominidae
Description: HSALNT0197660
Source: RNAcentral